RNAcentral lists this long non-coding RNA (2579 nucleotides) under Nicotiana benthamiana. Its description in RNAcentral is "long non-coding RNA (NBEN_LNC019601)". Lineage: Eukaryota; Viridiplantae; Streptophyta; Magnoliopsida; Solanales; Solanaceae. The record is from RNAcentral.
AGAAACGUAACAUCAAAAUCUUUAUAAGUUCAGAUCAAGAGUAACGUGCAAAACUGCAAAUCAAAAAGCCUAAGAAACACUAUAUUAAUCUUUAUAUAUUGUACUUGUAUGAUAGAGAGGUGCCAUGGUUCGUUUUCUAAGGUCAAGUGAACCAAUAAAUACACCCAAAAUUUAAAACGAUGAAAGGAGGAUUUUAUCAUUUUGAUAAUUUGUAGGUGAAAUCGCUUUCAACAAUCUCAGCUUUCUUGCCUGGCUUCAAGUUAUUCACAAUUAAAGAACAGUUUGCAAGCACACUGAAUUUCUUCAAAAGAGUUUUUCCAAACAGAACCUCCACAGGUACCUUAGCUGUCACCGAUAAUGGAAUUUUGCCAUUUUUUUCAUUUUCUUGCAUUGCCUCAUAUGGCCUUGAUCCAAACUAACUUUUUCCCUGAGUUCAACCUGCAUUAUGGUUGUAUUCUUUUGUGUCCAUGUCGGAAAGCUGGUAAUUUUCCUGAACAUAAUGUUGACUCAGUGUAGGUCAUGUUUAUAGAGCUACCUUCCCCGUAAGUUAGUUCUAUCUUUUUGUUAGGAUUCUCUGCUUUAAUAGUUACAAUAAUAUCCAUUGUGAGGGUAAAAUCAUGAGGUUGAUAUCCAAAUUCCUUAAUCUCAAAGCUUGAAAGUUGUAAUGUGGCAUUUGUGGGUUGAAGACCUUGAAGAAAUAGUAGGUGAGGGCGGAUACAAGAAGGAUGACGAAAAAAUGUAUGCAAUAGCAGCAGCAAAUGCAUCUCAAGCAAGGGUUUCCUCCUCCUGGCCUUUCUUCAUAAUAAUACUCACCGCUAUACCGCGGGGCUUUUGCAUAAGGCGGCGGAUGUGGUUGCAUUAUGGUGGACAAAGAUGAGCAAAACCUGCUGGAGAAAGAAGGAGGAGGAAACAACUUGCUUUUGCUUUGGUGGUGGUACCUAUUUCGUUAUGGAUCGAUGAAGGACCACCGUUAUUUCCUAUUUUAGGAAAGAGGCCAUUGUAUUUAAGGGAGAAAGGGUUUCUGUUUAUUGGACAGUUCCAUUGGUUAAGGAAAUUGCUAUAUAUGUGUGACUAAACAUGAGCAAAACAGUUACACCUUUCUUUGGAUGAUUUAGGCUUCUUGUUACUCCAUAGCAUGUUCAAUUAACAAGAGAUAAUACAAGUGCAAAGAACGGCAAAUACGAACGCAGUGCCGGCUCUAGGGGAAGCCACUAAAAUAAUAUAUAUAUAGAGAGAGAGAGAGAGAGAGAGAGAGACAUUCACGCUUCGUAGUACUAUUCAUCCCUUAUAUUACAAAAGUAUUAACAACUUAUAUUUAUAUUAUUUAGCUUGUAAAUAUAAUGGUGAUUUUUAAUUUUGACCAUUGUUAACCUGAAUAGAGAUCAUUGGUCGCUAUUUAUUCAUGAAUUUAAUAUAGCGACCAAAGUUAGUCGCUAAAUUUAAAUAAAAUUUAAUUAUACUUUAUAUAAUAUUUAGAUUAAUAAUAUAAUUAUUAAAAUUGUAUAACUGGGUCCCACUUAAGCAACCAAAGUUGGUCUCUAACUGCCUACCCUUUAUUUAGCGACCAACGUUGUUUUAUAAUAUAUAUAUAUAUAUAUAUAUAUUUAUAUUUUGUAUUUUUUUUAACAUAAUAAUAUAAUAAUUAAAAAUUUGUAGGUGUGUCCCACUUUAGCGACUAACAUUGGUCGCUAGUCUUAGUAAAUUUUUGACCAAAAAAGUCUGACUAGUCCAGCCAACAUUUUGACUAAUUUUGCAACCAAAUAGCGACCAACCUUAAUCGUUAUUUUGUUUCAACUAUUUAUUUUAUUAUUUUUCGCUAGUUUAGCCGCCAGGUUUGGUCGCCUUUUUCCACAGGCCAACGUAGUUCGCUAAAUUUUGGUCGUUUUCUUUUUCGGAAAUCUAGUAGUGGGUAGACCCGAUUUCUACAGUAUACAUAAUACUCAAGGAAUAAAUCCUGUGAAUAUACUGCUUAUACAUUUUGUAUACAUAUCAUCACAAAAAGUUAUAUUCCAUAUAGAUGUAUAUAUUGUUAAUAUAUUGGUUGCAGAUGCAUGCACUUACUGCUUAUAUGCUCGAUCCACAUCACCCCUCUCCCAAAUACAAUAAUGCGAAGAAAUGGAAGGAAAUUAAAGGUUAAAGGAGCCAUAAGAAACGUAACAUCAAAAUCUUUAUAAGUUCAGAUCAAGAGUAACGUGCAAAACUGCAAAUCAAAAAGCCUAAGAAACACUAUAUUAAUCUUUAUAUAUUGUACUUGUAUGAUAGAGAGGUGCCAUGGUUCGUUUUCUAAGGUCAAGUGAACCAAUAAAUACACCCAAAAUUUAAAACGAUGAAAGGAGGAUUUUAUCAUUUUGAUAAUUUGUAGGUGAAAUCGCUUUCAACAAUCUCAGCUUUCUUGCCUGGCUUCAAGUUAUUCACAAUUAAAGAACAGUUUGCAAGCACACUGAAUUUCUUCAAAAGAGUUUUUCCAAACAGAACCUCCACAGGUACCUUAGCUGUCACCGAUAAUGGAAUUUUGCCAUUUUUUUCAUUUUCUUGCAUUGCCUCAUAUGGCCUUGAUCCAAACUAACUUUUUCCCUGAG